CCAGACUCCUACGGGAGGCAGCAGUGGGGAAUAUUGCACAAUGGGGGAAACCCUGAUGCAGCAACGCCGCGUGAGUGAGGAAGUAUUUCGGUAUGUAAAGCUCUAUCAGCAGGGAAUAGAAAAGAAGGUACCUGAAAAAGAAGCCCCGGCUAACUACGUGCCAGCAGCCGCGGUAAUACGUAGGGAGCAAGCGUUGUCCGGAUUUACUGGGUGUAAAGGGGGCGCAGACGGCAGCGCAAGCCAGGAGUGAAAGCCCGGGGCCCAACCCCGGGACUGCUCUUGGAACGGCGCGGCUGGAGUGCAGGAGGGGCAGGCGGAAUUCCUGGUGUAGCGGUGAAAUGCGUAGAUAUCAGGAGGAACACCGGCGGCGAAGGCGGCCUGCUGGACCGUGACUGACGUUGAGGCUCGAGAGCGUGGGUAGCAAACAGGAUUAGAUACCCGCGUAC
RNAcentral lists this ribosomal RNA (446 nucleotides) under uncultured bacterium. RNAcentral's name for it is "partial 16S ribosomal RNA". It matches the Rfam family "Bacterial small subunit ribosomal RNA", at positions 331 to 793 of the family's 1533-position model. The record is from RNAcentral.